CAUCGUGAGGUGGAAUCCGAAGAAAGCCGGAUGUGGGGAACCUACUAACCCAUGGGCAAAUCUCUGGUCUGACAAACAGAAAUCACAUAUAAGGCCAUGCAUGAGGGUAAGGUUGCAAGGCAAACCAAAGCCCGAUAACUACACGGAAUUCUGGGCAGACGAA
RNAcentral lists this non-coding RNA (163 nucleotides) under uncultured Acetatifactor sp. The record is from RNAcentral. Lineage: Bacteria; Bacillati; Bacillota; Clostridia; Lachnospirales; Lachnospiraceae.